CGCGUAGGCGGUUUGAUAAGUCAGAUGUGAAAGCCCACGGCUUAACCGUGGAAGUGCAUUUGAAACUGUCAGACUUGAGUACCAGAGGGGAAAGUGGAAUUCCCGGUGUAGAGGUGAAAUUCGUAGAUAUCGGGAGGAAUACCGGUGGCGAAGGCGACUUUCUGGCUGAGUACUGACGCUGAGGCGCGAAAGCGUGGGGAGCAAACA
RNAcentral lists this ribosomal RNA (207 nucleotides) under uncultured delta proteobacterium. RNAcentral describes it as "partial 16S ribosomal RNA". It matches the Rfam family "Bacterial small subunit ribosomal RNA", at positions 568 to 774 of the family's 1533-position model. The record is from RNAcentral. Lineage: Bacteria; Deltaproteobacteria.